This is a long non-coding RNA of Sorex araneus (European shrew), 418 nucleotides long. RefSeq lists it as uncharacterized. NCBI's taxonomy places the organism in Eukaryota, Metazoa, Chordata, Mammalia, Eulipotyphla, Soricidae. The record is from RefSeq and is a predicted model, not a curated record. The transcript has 3 exons.
CUGUAGGCCAAGAGGAAGAGGAGGAACAAAGGUGCCUGGUUUAAGGGGAGAACGAGACCACAGACUACUGACAACAUCAUGAUGUUCCCCUCCAGCCACAAGACCUGGCAGUGGAUGGGGAGACAGGGACCCCCGAGACGCUGAGUUCAGCUCGGGACAUCCCGGUGGAGCCCCUGGUGGGAAGCAGCUGUUCUACCUGCCAGGACACGAGCCCGGGACCGCACAGAUGCAGUGACACCCAGUGCCCGGCACAGCAGGAGGAGCCCAUGUGCCCGAGCUCUCUGGAUGAGGCCUGCACGAUGCUGACCCUCGGCGAAAGAACUGUGGAGAUGUUGGUCUCCCUGAUGCAAACCUCCCCUGGGCGGAAGUUCUCCUCUGUUACCACCAUCCUUCCUACCGGCCUGGCCUUCCCCAUUCC